Molecule: long non-coding RNA, 206 nt
Filed under: Carica papaya (papaya)
Lineage: Eukaryota; Viridiplantae; Streptophyta; Magnoliopsida; Brassicales; Caricaceae
Description: long non-coding RNA (CPAP_LNC015169)
Source: RNAcentral
CAAUAACUUAGGAGGAGAUUACUUGACCUAGUAAGUAGCCACCUUGAUAAAUAAACUAGAGUUGCCCUUCCCCCUAUUUUGCCUCCACUUACAGUUCAACAUGCCCGACCUAACCAACACUGUCAGCAUUAUGGUCACUCGCAUGAUGACUUACCCUGUUAAUGUAUCAAUAAUGCCUGAUAUCGGUGCGGAAGCACCAACACCUU